This 200-nucleotide long non-coding RNA is filed under the name Capsicum annuum. RNAcentral's name for it is "long non-coding RNA (CANN_LNC022149)". The record is from RNAcentral. Lineage: Eukaryota; Viridiplantae; Streptophyta; Magnoliopsida; Solanales; Solanaceae.
ACUAGUACAUAUGCAAACCUCAUAAUUAUUCAAUCGUUUACCCAUAGUAUCAUUAAUUGGUCAUUUUACUAAAGUUUAAUUAAUUACCAACUUUAACCAAGUGCCCAUACUCCAUACUAUUACCAUCUUUUAGAAAUCAUAGCAUCAAUAUACACUAACCAUAAUUUACUAGUUAGUCAUCACUCAUUAACUAGUCCAAU